UGGGGAAUCUUGGUCAAUGGGCGAAAGCCUGAACCUGCGACGCCGCGUGAGUGAUGAAGGUCGUAAGAUCGUAAAACUCUUUUCAGGGAUAUUAAAGCCUGUCUGUCAACAACAGGCAGGUCUGACUCUCCCUGGAAGAAGCCCCAGCCAACUACGUGCCAGCAACUGCGGUAAUACGUAGGGGGCGAGCGUUAUUCGGAAUUACUGGGUGUAAAGGGUAUGUAGGCGGCCCUUCAAGUCGGGUGUCAAAGUCCAGUGCUCAACGCUGGGUGUGCGCGCGAUACUGACGGGCUAGAG
This 297-nucleotide ribosomal RNA is filed under the name uncultured prokaryote. RNAcentral's name for it is "partial 16S ribosomal RNA". It matches the Rfam family "Bacterial small subunit ribosomal RNA", at positions 355 to 646 of the family's 1533-position model. The record is from RNAcentral.